GUUGGUAGGGUAGUGGCCUACCAAGGCAACGAUCAGUAGCCGGCCUGAGAGGGUGGACGGCCACACUGGGACUGAGACACGGCCCAGACUCCUACGGGAGGCAGCAGUGGGGAAUAUUGCGCAAUAGGGGAAACCCUGACGCAGCGACGCCGCGUGAGCGAAGAAGGCCUUAGGGUUGUAAAGCUCUGUUGUAAGGGAAGAAGAACUUAAGCGAGAAUAUUGUUUAAGAGUGACGGUACCUUACUAGAAAGCCCCGGCUAACUACGUGCCAGCAGCCGCGGUAAGACGUAGGGGGCGAGCGUUGUCCGGAAUUACUGGGCGUAAAGAGCACGUAGGCGGAUAUUUAAGUCAGAUGUGAAAGACCGCAGCUCAACUGCGGGGUUGCAUUUGAAACUGGGUAUCUUGAGGGCAGGAGAGGGCAGUGGAAUUCCUGGUGUAGCGGUGAAAUGCGUAGAAAUCAGGAGGAACACCAGUGGCGAAGGCGACUGUCUGGACUGACCCUGACGCUGAGGUGCGAAAGCGUGGGUAGCAAACAGGAUUAGAUACCCUGGUAGUCCACGCCGUAAACGAUGGAUACUAGGUGUAGGAGGUAUCGACCCCUUCUGU
Molecule: ribosomal RNA, 606 nt
Filed under: uncultured bacterium
Lineage: Bacteria
Description: bacterial SSU rRNA
Rfam family: Bacterial small subunit ribosomal RNA
Source: RNAcentral